UGCGGGAUGGAGAAGUGGUAUCUCGUCGGGCUCAUAACCCGAAGAUCGUCAGUUCGAGUCUGGCUCCCGCUA
This 72-nucleotide transfer RNA is filed under the name Vicingaceae bacterium. RNAcentral's name for it is "tRNA-Met". It matches the Rfam family "tRNA". From Rfam's summary of the family: Transfer RNA (tRNA) molecules are approximately 80 nucleotides in length. Their secondary structure includes four short double-helical elements and three loops (D, anti-codon, and T loops). The record is from RNAcentral. Lineage: Bacteria; Pseudomonadati; Bacteroidota; Flavobacteriia; Flavobacteriales; Vicingaceae.